GAUCGUUUAGCUCAGUCGGUUAGAGACUCGUGCUAGUAACGCGAGGGUCGCAGGUUCGAGCCCUGCAUCGACCA
This 74-nucleotide transfer RNA is filed under the name Perkinsus chesapeaki. It matches the Rfam family "tRNA". From Rfam's summary of the family: Transfer RNA (tRNA) molecules are approximately 80 nucleotides in length. Their secondary structure includes four short double-helical elements and three loops (D, anti-codon, and T loops). Further hydrogen bonds mediate the characteristic L-shaped molecular structure. tRNAs have two regions of fundamental functional importance: the anti-codon, which is responsible for specific mRNA codon recognition, and the 3' end, to which the tRNAs corresponding amino acid is attached (by aminoacyl-tRNA synthetases). tRNAs cope with the degeneracy of the genetic code in two manners: having more than one tRNA (with a specific anti-codon) for a particular amino acid; and 'wobble' base-pairing, i.e. permitting non-standard base-pairing at the 3rd anti-codon position. Lineage: Eukaryota; Perkinsozoa; Perkinsida; Perkinsidae. The record is from Rfam by way of RNAcentral.